RNAcentral lists this long non-coding RNA (869 nucleotides) under Danio rerio (zebrafish). Its description in RNAcentral is "si:dkey-100h21.2 (ENSDARG00000094102.4)". Lineage: Eukaryota; Metazoa; Chordata; Actinopteri; Cypriniformes; Danionidae. The record is from RNAcentral.
AAGCUCAGGCAGAACAUCAGAACAAGUCUGGAUUUUCCUUCCAGGCACAAGCAGAUGGUGAUCAAUCCACACAUUCCAUAAUCCCAGCAAUAAAAGAUUUUCAAACAGUUAUCAAAAUGGACCAGAGGUUGUUACUGAGAGUCAUCAUCGCAGAAGAUGAUAUAACAUUGUCAUCACCCACCACAACAUUAGACACUGAGGGCAGCACAGCAGACACUGAGAUCCUGUCGCCUGUAGGAGCAUCACCAUCGCUAAGACAACAGUGGCCAGAGUUCUUUGACAUACCCAAAUAGCACAUAUCAUAGAGAGACAGGUGUUUGCUGAGUUUAAUAGAAUCGCCAGUAAGAAUCUUGAGGGAGACUUCUUUGAGGCUCUGGACCAGUAUGCCCCACGUUUCAUUGAACUUUUCAAAACAAGAAGGGAACUGUUGGCCAGAAACUCAGGGAGCUGAUGCAGCACAUGAGCUGGAUGACACCAGACGUCACAGUACUUCGCUCUGUUGUCCUCAAAGGCAUUCCCAUUUUACUCGGUGAUGACUCCAGUGAAUUCUACAAGACUUGCUCUGAUACAGAGAGAGACGAGGCCCUAGAAUGCAUCACUGUUGGUGUGCUGACAGUUGUCAGUGAAGAUAGUCCUCACGAGGGUCAAAGCUCAGUGGACCUCCAGCCCAUCUCCACUGCCAUCAUUCUGGAGGGAGGUGUUGUCAUGGAUCAUAUUAAAAACUUGCCUCAGGCAGUUUGUCCUUUGUUUGGUCUUACAUAUGCAUUGCAUUUGGAUUACCCAAAAUGCACGGCAAAUACACUCAACUUCAUUCAGACUGUGAUGCUUGGACUGGUAAAGAAAAACCUCCCACCAAAACUGUUAACUCU